RNAcentral lists this long non-coding RNA (263 nucleotides) under Salmo trutta (river trout). RNAcentral's name for it is "lncRNA (ENSSTUG00000002620.1)". The record is from RNAcentral. Lineage: Eukaryota; Metazoa; Chordata; Actinopteri; Salmoniformes; Salmonidae.
GGUUCUUCCUCCAACCAGGUGUGCACGGACCUGCACAAGCACCCACUGCAGGACACGGGCGUGACAGGAAGGGUUGGGCAGGUCCUUCAAAACAUUAAACAGCUGUUUAAGGCCGAGCUCUGCUGAUGAUGGGUGAGCACCAGUUGGAGAGGAUGGGGGGUGAAGGGGGAGCAUCUUCAGGACAUCCUACUGGACCAUCUUUGCCUCAGGGUCCAGGAGGAACUGGAGAACCUCAACAACAUCUUCUCUGGAAAUCCUGUCUG